UCCCUGGUUCAACUCCAGGUGCCCCCUCUCUUUACCUCCUUUUCCAACCUUUCUUCUUUGUGGACAGAAUAGGGAGAGACCAUCUUAGGCUUCCCAUUUCAGGAACCACUCCGUGUUCUUUUACCGGGAAGAAAAUUGACUUUUUUCCCCUCUGUUUUUGCUGAAGAAGGCAUGGAAAAGCUACCAAGGUGCUUUUGCAGCGGUGGGAUGCAAUUCCAGGCUUUCCUGCCCCAGUAACUCCCAUUAAGGAUGCAGUACGCACCAACCACGGGGUCUUUUUUUAAAACCCAGACCUCCCCCGCGCUGUUUAUUGCAGGCACCCGGGGUCGGUGCUGCAGAAAUCAACCCAGAACCGAUCCCAAAAGGGAGCAGCCACACCUGGGCGCUGCCUCCCCGGGAGGGGGGUCUCGAACCCGGCUCCUCGGGCCCCGCGGGCGGCUUCGCUCCCCCUGCGCCACGCCCCGGGGCCGCGGCCGCGCCUUGGGGGGCCCGCGCGUGGCUCCGGGGCAGGGCGCGGGGCUGGGGGCCCGGAGGACCCCGGUUCGAGGCCCACCGAGGGCGGAACCCACCCCGGGAGGGGGGGGGGAGGGAGCUGGGGGUCCUCUCCUCCGGUGCUCGGUGCUGCGGGCAGGCGGCUCCCCGUGUGUUUGGGAAUGGUGGGGGGCGCCCCUUUAUUUACCUGCGGUGUUGUUCGGAAGGAUUUGGGUUUUUUUUCCUUUGAGGGGAGGGGGGAAAAACGGGAGCUGUGAGGGGGGCAGCGGCCCCUGCUCCUCCUUCCGCCAUCUUGGCGGCGCGGCGGAAGUGACGUCAUCACGCGGCGGUGAGGAGAGGGGGCGGAGGUCGGGGCCGGGGGUGGAGGUGGGGGCCGGGGGCUGCGCCCUGAGGGCCGGGCCCGUGACCCGGUACCGGGCUCCGGUAGCGUCAAUUCCCCCCUUUCCUGCCUCAGGAGCCGCUGUCGGGUGGGCUCCGGCCGGGCCCGGCCCGGCUGGAAGGCGGCGGCGAGGCUGCGGGUGUCGGCGGUUCCCUGCCCUGCAGCCUCUGGACAGGCAGCGAGGCCGCGGGCAGCACCGGAGCUGCUCCCUGACAGGUUUGGGUGAGGCCCUGAGCACACAGGGGCACGGCCGAGCGCCUUCGGAGGCCUCCUGAGGUGGGUGCUUCCGAGCCAUUCUAUUUUCCUACUCCAUCAUGAGGUGCUGUAAGGGAAAGCAAAGUGGGGAGUGGUUGGCCUGUCCCCCAGGAGCCUGUGAGCGAGGUCUGGGGCUGGCAGGGCCAGGAGGAGACCAAGGAGAGGGAAUUCCUGCGGGAGCCGUGCCGCAGGUGCUGUGAGCA
RNAcentral lists this long non-coding RNA (1329 nucleotides) under Anas platyrhynchos platyrhynchos (common mallard). RNAcentral describes it as "lncRNA (ENSAPLG00000017262.1)". The record is from RNAcentral. Lineage: Eukaryota; Metazoa; Chordata; Aves; Anseriformes; Anatidae.